Acanthosepion pharaonis is the source of this 112-nucleotide non-coding RNA. The record is from the annotation of a GenBank genome assembly. NCBI's taxonomy places the organism in Eukaryota, Metazoa, Mollusca, Cephalopoda, Sepiida, Sepiidae.
UAUGGCCAUAUCAUGUUGAAACGCCAUUUCUCGUGCGAUCACCAAAGUUAAGCAACGUCGAACCCGAUCAGUACCUAGAUGGGUAACUGCUUGGGAAUAUCACGUGCUGUAA